AUCCCACAAAGUCGGUCUCAGUUCGGAUUGAAGUCUGCAACUCGACUUCAUGAAGUUGGAAUCGCUAGUAACCGUGAGUCAGCCAUAUCACGGUGAAUAUGUUCCUGGGUCUUGUACUCACCGCCCGUCAAGUCAUGAAAGCUCGGAGCACCCAAAGCACCCUUACCAUCAAUGGGGGGUACCACGGUGAAACGAGUGAUUGGGACUAAGUCGUAACAAGGUAUCCGUAGGAGAACCUGCGGAUGGAACACUUCCUUACCAGGGA
RNAcentral lists this ribosomal RNA (265 nucleotides) under Candidatus Peribacteria bacterium RIFCSPHIGHO2_01_FULL_51_35. RNAcentral describes it as "partial 16S ribosomal RNA". It matches the Rfam family "Bacterial small subunit ribosomal RNA", at positions 1271 to 1533 of the family's 1533-position model. The record is from RNAcentral. Lineage: Bacteria; Candidatus Peregrinibacteriota; Candidatus Peribacteria.